UCGGUCUUUUGCACUCCAUUUUUGAGGUUGAGGAAAGUCUCUUCUUUUUUUCACAGCGUUGUAUUUUAAGUCCUUGAAGCUCUGACGUGAUCCCCAUUUCUAAGGGUUAAAUUAAGAAAGCCCAGGGUCAUAAAGAGUAUAAAGGCUGGAAACACUUGCAAAUUUCUGAAAACACAUGUAUACAAUCUGUAUGUGUCUUGAUUUACCAAACCAUUUCUUUUGCCAUUCUAAAACAGAAUAUCUGGAAUCUGUUUAACGUAACAGCGAUCAAGUAGCUCUUUUGAUAUCAUAUAUAUGCUGACAUCAUGCACAAAACUUCAAGCUUUCAAAAAACUUCUACUUAAUGAAUCUCUUCCUAUGAUUUUACUUUUAAGCCGCCUAGUUUUCAAUAAAAGAAAAGGUUUAUUGGGUGUUUUUAACCCAGAAUCUUGUCAAUUUUGUUCUUUUAUUGGGUAUACAGUACAUUCCUGUAGUCACAUUAAUAGAUCUUCUGUCAGUGUGUAAACUUAGAAGGAUCUGUUACUUCUCUUUCAUGCAGGGUGUUUCGAGGGCAUUAGUUGAAAAUGCAAGAACCUUAAGAUUGCCUACUUAUUUGCAUGAAAGAUUAAGUUUAAUCCGUAAUGCAAAGACGAAACAUGAAGAGGAAGGAAUUGCUCCACCGAUUGAUAGAAUUGCGGCAUGCCUGAACAUGUCCCAAACAAAAGUCAGGAAUGCAACAGAGAUGCCAAGCAAUUAGUAAGGUCUUCUCUCUUGAUAGGGAAGCAUUCCCCUCUUUAAAUGGCCUUCCAGGAGAAACACUUCAUAGUGUAAGUGCAUAUGUACUAU
Molecule: non-coding RNA, 825 nt
Organism: Camellia sinensis
Lineage: Eukaryota; Viridiplantae; Streptophyta; Magnoliopsida; Ericales; Theaceae
Source: RefSeq, a predicted model, not a curated record